Molecule: ribosomal RNA, 459 nt
Filed under: uncultured bacterium
Lineage: Bacteria
Description: partial 16S ribosomal RNA
Rfam family: Bacterial small subunit ribosomal RNA
Source: RNAcentral
CCUACCGGGCGCAGCAGUGAGGAAUAUUGGUCAAUGGGAGAGAUCCUGAACCAGCCAAGCCGCGUGAGGGAAGACGGCCCUAUGGGUUGUAAACCUCUUUUGUCGGAGCACAAAACCCGGGACGUGUCCCGGACUGCGUGUAUCCGAAGACAAAGCAUCGGCUAACUCCGUGCCAGCAGCCGCGGUAAUACGGAGGAUGCGAGCGUUAUCCGGAUUUAUUGGGUGUAAAGGGUGCGUAGGCGGUCCGUGAAGGCAGCGGUAAAAUGGCGGGGCUCAACCCCGUCGCGCCGUUGACACUGGCAGACUUGAGUUGGCGAGAAGUACGCGGAAUGCGCGGUGUAGCGGUGAAAUGCAGAGAUAUCGCGCAGAACUCCGAUUGCGAAGGCAGCGUACCGGCGCCAGACUGACGCUGAGGCACGAAAGCGUGGGGAUCGAACAGGAUUAGAUACCCGGGUAGUC